AUGAACGCUGGCGGCGUGCCUAAUACAUGCAAGUCGAGCGAACAGACGAGGAGCUUGCUCCUCUGACGUUAGCGGCGGACGGGUGAGUAACACGUGGAUAUCCUACCUAUAAGACUGGGAUAACUUCGGGAAACCGGAGCUAAUACCGGAUAAUAUAUUGAACCGCAUGGUUCAAUAGUGAAAGACGGUUUUGCUGUCACUUAUAGAUGGAUCCGCGCCGCAUUAGCUAGUUGGUAAGGUAACGGCUUACCAAGGCAACGAUGCGUAGCCGACCUGAGAGGGUGAUCGGCCACACUGGAACUGAGACACGGUCCAGACUCCUACGGGAGGCAGCAGUAGGGAAUCUUCCGCAAAGGGCGAAAGCCUGACGGAGCAACGCCGCGUGAGUGAUGAAGGUCUUCGGAUCGUAAAACUCUGUUAUUAGGGAAGAACAAAUGUGUAAGUAACUAUGCACGUCUUGACGGUACCUAAUCAGAAAGCCACGGCUAACUACGUG
This 496-nucleotide ribosomal RNA is filed under the name uncultured bacterium. RNAcentral's name for it is "partial 16S ribosomal RNA". It matches the Rfam family "Bacterial small subunit ribosomal RNA", at positions 29 to 507 of the family's 1533-position model. The record is from RNAcentral.